UGGGGAAUAUUGCACAAUGGGCGGAAGCCUGAUGCAGCAACGCCGCGUGCGGGAUGACGGCCUUCGGGUUGUAAACCGCUUUCGCCUGUGACGAAGCGUGAGUGACGGUAAUGGGUAAAGAAGCACCGGCUAACUACGUGCCAGCAGCCGCGGUGAUACGCAGGGUGCGAGCGUUGUCCGGAUUUAUUGGGCGUAAAGGGCUCGUAGGUGGUUGAUCGCGUCGGAAGUGUAAUCUUGGGGCUUAACCCUGAGCGUGCUUUCGAUACGGGUUGACUUGAGGAAGGUAGGGGAGAAUGGAAUUCCUGGUGGAGCGGUGGAAUGCGCAGAUAUCAGGAGGAACACCAGUGGCGAAGGCGGUUCUCUGGGCCUUUCCUGACGCUGAGGAGCGAAAGCGUGGGGAGCAAACA
Molecule: ribosomal RNA, 407 nt
Filed under: uncultured bacterium
Lineage: Bacteria
Description: partial 16S ribosomal RNA
Rfam family: Bacterial small subunit ribosomal RNA
Source: RNAcentral